GAAGACCUAAGAGACCAUUGAUGAUGAGUUAUCAGAUGAAUCAUCAUUAUUAUUGUUUUUUGUAGCGCCAAGAAAUAAAAAAAAUGCUCUGACAAUUUAACUAUGUUGGACCCUUAGUGGUAAAGGACAUCCUUAUUUAGAGUCGUUAAAAUGUGGGGGGAAAAAAGCAUGUUUUAGAUUCAGGGAAGAAUAGUAGUAGACAUUAGAGUAACCAGAAAAAAUGUUGUGUAGAUGAGCUCAUGACCAAGAGUCCCUUGCGUGACCUUUGAGCUCCCAGUUCUGUGUACCAGAUACGACUUUGAAAAAAAAAUCAAUUCUUUGGUUGUCUCUAAAUAAUCGUUUCAUCCUUUAUUGUUUAUUGGCUUAUCUUCUUCAGAUAGGUACAUUUAAAAAAAUGUAACAAAUCAUAUAUUCCUGCUCUCGCUCCUUCUCCUCUUUCCCUCAUAUUCCCCCCUUUCAUUGUCUUGAAUUUGGUGGGUAUUACUGUCCCAUAUGUUUUCAUAUUUUUACGAUGUAUGUUCGUAUCCAUAGCAAAAAAUGAGUCUGACUUUUGAUGAGGCAUAUUCUUUUUUUCAUUUUUUUUUCUUUUUUCUUUUUUUUUUAGGACUGUACUCACGGCAUAUGGUGGCAACACUGGAUCCUUAACCCACGGAGUGAGCCCAGGGAUUGAACCUGUGUCCUUGAGGAUACUAGUCAGAUUCAUUUCCACUGAGCCACGAUGGGAACGCCAAUGAUGAGGAAUAUUCUUAAAACACAAAGCCAUUCUGAAGAGCCUCUCAGACAGGCCCCACUGACGUUUGAUCUCGCAGGAGCUGGGAUGUUUUCAGUGUGGCGAGCAGAACAGUCCAGAGGCUGGGGACUUGAAACGACAUGAGGAGAAACUGCAAAGUCUGGGCUACGUCGAUGGGUAAGCCAUUCCUACCUCGAGUAUUACCCUGGUAAGGAAAUGAUUCCUUGUGCCCUUGUCAGAUGGCAAGAGGAGAUAUCUUGGUCCCUCGUCCAGGGUCAUUGUUUGGAGGAGAAGUCUAACUCUCACGGGGUCAGACAGGAGAGCAGCUCGAUGACUUGAGUUGGAAAUGUCUAGACGAUUAGCCUAAGGAGAAGAAGAAGAGGCAGGGAAGUCAACAAAACUCAUCCAGAGCAGGGCUACCUCGGUAGGGUGGCUGGCAAGAUUGUGUAUAAACUAGGAUUAUGUUUGGCUGCAAAUGAUAGAAAACGCUCUAUAACGACUUAAAUAAAGGAUAAUUUGUCAAAGAGAACA
Molecule: long non-coding RNA, 1261 nt
Filed under: Sus scrofa (pig)
Lineage: Eukaryota; Metazoa; Chordata; Mammalia; Artiodactyla; Suidae
Description: lncRNA (ENSSSCG00060029204.1)
Source: RNAcentral